GCAAACAGAACAAAAAAGCGAUGUUGUCAGGUUUCCUGCUCAUCACGAAGCAGAAUUUGCCCUCUACGAGAGCCUUGUCGACUAGAAUCACUGGUCGCUGGAGGAAAACGUCGCAGAACAUCUUGUCUGGAGUGAAAUACUGAAUAUUUUUAUAUUCACGAGAAAAAUGUUCCCCACUGGAUUGAAAAUCGCAGGACGUGCUGCUGCAGUCAAUCAGCAGUUCAUCAGGAGCAUUACUCAUGGGGCUACUAAACCUCGCAAUCACUGUAGCUUUGGUGAACAAUGUGCGCACGGAAUCCUCAUAGCUACUGGUGUCCUGGCAACUCCAGCGUACAUCGCAUACAACUUGAAGUACUACACCGGGCGCGAGGAACGGAACUGAGGACAUUACACUAGCUUUCAAUCUCGUCUCUUUAUGUAAAUGAAACGGUCACCGAUCACGACCACUGAUAUUUCGACCGAGUCCACAGUGAAUAAAUCAAAUACAAAAAAUAGUUGAUAAAAGGUGAA
Molecule: long non-coding RNA, 510 nt
Organism: Diachasma alloeum
Lineage: Eukaryota; Metazoa; Arthropoda; Insecta; Hymenoptera; Braconidae
Exons: 2
Source: RefSeq, a predicted model, not a curated record